RNAcentral lists this unclassified non-coding RNA (283 nucleotides) under uncultured Mucor. RNAcentral's name for it is "partial contains 18S rRNA, ITS1 and 5.8S rRNA". The stretch from base 1 to 45 matches the Rfam family "Eukaryotic small subunit ribosomal RNA", at positions 1786 to 1831 of the family's 1831-position model. Lineage: Eukaryota; Fungi; Mucoromycota; Mucoromycetes; Mucorales; Mucoraceae. The record is from RNAcentral.
AAGUCGUAACAAGGUUUCCGUAGGUGACCUGCGGAAGGAUCAUUAAAUAAUCAAUAAUUUUGGCUCGUCCAUUAUUAUCUAUUUACUGUGAACUGUAUUAUUACUUGACGCUUGAGGGAUGCUCCACUGCUAUAAGGAUAGGCGGUGGGGAUGUUAACCGAGUCAUAGUCAAGCUUAGGCUUGGUAUCCUAUUAUUAUUUACCAAAAGAAUUCAGAAUUAAUAUUGUAACAUAGACCUAAAAAAUCUAUAAAACAACUUUUAACAACGGAUCUCUUGGUUCUC